RNAcentral lists this long non-coding RNA (350 nucleotides) under Coffea arabica (coffee). RNAcentral describes it as "long non-coding RNA (CARA_LNC007851)". The record is from RNAcentral. Lineage: Eukaryota; Viridiplantae; Streptophyta; Magnoliopsida; Gentianales; Rubiaceae.
UCAAUUCUUGAAAAGGUAAUGAAUUCUGCUGGUUUUGUCUCUUGUCAGUUCUCUGGAAUAAUGUCAAAAUAAGGAAAUUUUAGACACAAAGAAAAUUCAUGCUGACUUGAGAAUCAGGACAAUUAAAUUGGUUUAGUGAACUUGGUUUUAUGGGAUUCUUAAAUUCUGGGCAAGGUUGGGAACUUUGGGUAUUUGGAAGUGAAUAAGACUGUAGCGGACUUGAAUUACUGGUAUAAUGUGUUCGCUGCUAUAAUUGUUUUGGUUUAAGAUGAAGAGUAGCAAUGUUACGGAAUUGGUUUCUAAAGAAAGAGAUGCUCGAAAGAUUAAGCAUAAGUAAACGGCGAAUGGGA